AGCUUUUUUUCUCCUGCUCUGGAGGGUAGGAUCCAAACCAGGGGUAGGCAACCUAUGCCCUGUGGGCUGGAUGCGGCCCAAUCGCCUUCUCAAUCUGGCCCGGGGAUGGUUUGGGAAUCAUCGUGUUUUUACAUGAAUAGAAUGUGUCCUUUUAUUUAAAAUGCAUCUCUGGGUUAUUUGUGGGGCAUAGGAAUUCGUUCAUUUUUUUCCUUCAAAACAUAGUCCGGUCUACCACAUGGUCUGAGGGAUGGUGGACAGGCCCACGGCUGAAAAAGGCUGCUGACCCCUGAUCUAAACCAAUGGCUUCAGGUUGCAUGAACAUCAAGAAGAACUUUCUGACAAAAUGCUUGCCUUCCUGGACUCCUUCCGAAAGAAGGACAAGAUACAAAUGUAAUAAUUAAAAUUAAUGAAUUAAUGAAUAAUAAACAAAAA
Long non-coding RNA from Podarcis raffonei (Aeolian wall lizard), 432 nucleotides. RefSeq lists it as uncharacterized. The record is from RefSeq and is a predicted model, not a curated record. Lineage: Eukaryota; Metazoa; Chordata; Lepidosauria; Squamata; Lacertidae. The transcript has 2 exons.